This 224-nucleotide ribosomal RNA is filed under the name Salmonella enterica subsp. enterica serovar Rubislaw. RNAcentral's name for it is "partial 16S ribosomal RNA". It matches the Rfam family "Bacterial small subunit ribosomal RNA", at positions 1 to 225 of the family's 1533-position model. RNAcentral also lists the same sequence under 3 other names. Lineage: Bacteria; Pseudomonadati; Pseudomonadota; Gammaproteobacteria; Enterobacterales; Enterobacteriaceae. The record is from RNAcentral.
UGAAGAGUUUGAUCAUGGCUCAGAUUGAACGCUGGCGGCAGGCCUAACACAUGCAAGUCGAACGGUAACAGGAAGCAGCUUGCUGCUUUGCUGACGAGUGGCGGACGGGUGAGUAAUGUCUGGGAAACUGCCUGAUGGAGGGGGAUAACUACUGGAAACGGUGGCUAAUACCGCAUAACGUCGCAAGACCAAAGAGGGGGACCUUCGGGCCUCUUGCCAUCAGA